UGGACGGACCGAAUCCCUGGAUGUUCAGGAG
Molecule: non-coding RNA, 31 nt
Filed under: Homo sapiens (human)
Lineage: Eukaryota; Metazoa; Chordata; Mammalia; Primates; Hominidae
Source: RNAcentral